AUUCAAUCUCCUUGUGCCUUGAUUUCCUUAUCAAUAAGUGAUUUGUUUUUAAAGAAGGAUUCACAAGCAAACAUAUCUGGUUUUUUUGUUUGUUUGUUUUUGAGACAGAGUCUCGCUCUGUUGUCCAGGCUGGAGUGCAGUGAUGCGAUCUUGACUCACUGCAACCUCCGCCUCCCAGGAGUUCAAGCGAUCCUCCUGCCUCAGUCUUCCGAGUAGCUGGGACUACAGGCAUGUGCCACCACACCCAGCUACUAUUUUUGUAUUUUUUUGUAGAGAUGGUUUCGCCAUGUUGGCCAGGCUGGUCUUGAACCCUUGACCUCAGGUGAUCCACCAGCCUCGGCCUCACAAAGUGCUGGGAUUACAGGUAUGAGCCACCACGCCCAGCCUGCAAACAUAUGUUGAACUCUUUGCACAGUGCCCUGCAUGAGAUAGAUGACAGCUCCUUCUUCCAUGUUGUUAAUUUGGUGUGAGUAUAUGUUAUAUGUAUGUAUAUGCAAGAUAAUAAUCUUCUUGUAACCACUGACAGGCCUUUUUGUGAAUGAUGAUGGAAAAAGCAAGAACCUUGUCCAGGUUCCUCUCCAGGGAGCAGGGGUGGGUUGUGAUUCUUGAUUUCAUUCCUUUAGAUAUGAAGAGUUUUCACACAGAGGCAGCACGAAUUUGUCUCUCUCCUAGAGGGUGGGGAGAGUUGCUGGGUGGAUAUAACUGCAUCACAGCCUUUCUGGGUAAACUGGCCACUCCCUACUGAUUUGUUAUCAUGCUAAAUGUGUCUCCUCCCUUCCUUUCUGGAGCUUUUGCAGCUGUUCCUGGAAGGAGACCCAGUUGAAAGGGGUUGUUAUGGACCAGGAACAGCUGGGAUCUUUAAUGAUCUGUGAGCAGCUUACAGCAAAGUUCCAACACCCUGAGUAUCAGUCCCCAAAUCCUUGGUCUUUGCAUUCCAACACAAAGUAAAAAGGAUUGAGCAGGGUUUUGGUUUUGGUUGCAAGUAACAGAAACCCAACGCUAAUUAAUAAACGGGAAAGUGUGUCAGUGGAAAUCUCCACAAGUCCGACGGAAAGAGAAAACUGCUUUCCCAAAGGGUGUAAGAGGAUGAAAGGCAUGUCAUCAGCUGAAUUGCAUCAGGUGUCCAUCUUGGAAUCAAUCACGGUGCCUCUUAUUAGCAAAGCCUGAGUCAUAGCAAGAAAACAGGGACCUUAAUCUUACGACCACAAGGAACUGGACUCUGCUACCAGAAUGAGCUGCAAGGGAGAUUCUUCCUCAGAAGCUUCAGAUAAGAACUCCACCUGGCUGACCUUUGAUUUUGGUUUUGUGAGAACUUUGGCAGAUAACCCAGGCAUGUGUCAUUUCACAUCUGCAUAAAAAGACAUGCUGAAGGAUGUUCCUUGCAGAAUGGUUAUAGAGAAAAAUGGGAAUAACCACGAUAUAAAGUAACAGUCUGCUAUUUUAGGAAGUGGAUAAAAUGGCAUUUUGACAGAUCUGGAGGGUCUUGGAUCUACCUUUCAACAUUGGCAUUACUGAUAUUAGAGUACCACCACUCACUAGCUGUGGAGAUGUAGGAAGAUUACUUAACCACUCAGAGCCUUGGUUUCCUCAUUUGUUAUGUGAAGAUGACAAUAUCAGAUGACAGUGAGAUCUGAGAUGAAUUUAACUGCCUUCAGUAGUGCUGGCCUGCUCCUGAGAGAGAGAUGAUUGAGAGGGAGGAAGUAGAGAGGAGGAAGAAGCCUUUACUCACACUCCUUGAGGAGUGAUUCAGGUGGACAGCCUGAAUUACGGGAUUUAUUGGCAGCAAGUAAGUAUUGUCUGAGUGGAUUACUGCAAAAUGCUUUAGCUGGGGAUGGCUUUGAAAACCACUCAUCAAUUACAGAUGGUACCCAGUAUAGCAGCAGGAGUACCCUUGCGGGCUUUUGUUAUCUCCGACCUCUUCCUUCAUGGGUGACCGUUCUAACCCAAAGACCUCAACUGUUCAUCAAAAACCUGCCACUCAGAACUGCAUAUCAAUUAUUAAACAAUGUCCCAUGCAGGACAGUGACUUUAAAUUAUCUUGGAAAUGAUAAAGACCAACAUUUGUCUUUGUUAACAUGCUGAGUGAUUCUGUGGUCUCUAGUCACAGGUGAAAGGAUCAGAUUUGAGAUUUCUAGACACCAGAAUCACAUUAGGGUUAAGCAAAACUCCAUCUUUUCCCAGAGAAAAUUUAGCCAGAAAUGUUGCUUAUUUGAGAUGAGAAGUAAGAUGAAGUGUUCUAACAUGGCGGAGCUUGAUAUGCAAAUGAGCCCAUCUAGGGACAGUAGGGAUUGGUAAUGUGGGUCUGUGGAUGCCUGGAAGGCUCACAGAAAGACUUCAGGAAUUCCUGAGUCUCUUCAAAGUGUAAGCAAAAUUUUGUGUGUAUUUUCUUAUUUGCAUGAUAUGGCUUGGCUGUGUCCCCACCCAAACCUUAUCUCGAAUUGUAACUCCCACAAUUCCCACAUGUCGUGGAAGGAUCCUGGUGGGAUUCAUUAUGGGGGCAGGUCUUUCCAGUGCUGUUCUCAUGAUAGUGAAUGAGUCUCACAAUAUCUGAUGGUUUUAAAAACAGGAGUUUCUUUGCACAAGCUCUCUUUCUACCGCUGCCUCCAUGUAAGAUGUGACUUGCUCCUCCUUGCCUUCCACCAUGAUUGUGAGGCCUCCCCAUCCACGUGGAACUGCGAGGCCAAUUGAACUCCUUUCUUUUGUAAAUUGUCCAGUCUCAGGUAUGUCUUUAUCAGCAGUGUGAAAAUGGGCUAAUACAGUGCAUUUAUUUUUUUGAAGCAUGUCCAUACUUUCCAUUGGAUUCUCAAAGGGAUUCAGGACCUGGAAACUUUUUGAAAUACUGCUCCAUAGUAAAUGGCACAAAUCUCUCUGAAUCAAGGAUGUCUCUAGCCUUAGGCAAAGCUAGGUUGAAGGACAGAACAGAGAGUCAGCCUCUGGAGUGCCCUCUAUAAGGAAAAAGAAAACAUUACUAGAGUAAGUUGAUAAAGUAUAAAUUCAUCUCACUCCUACUGGACACUGCCCUUGAGUGAAAUUAAAAACUGAAAAAUUUUUGACAUAUCUUUUGAGCAUUUUUGUAAAAUACGCAUGUAGCUAUGGCCAAAAUUCUGGAAUAAAAUGGUACAUAUAGCCUUAGGUAUCCUGGCUCUGUUUCUUAAAGGAGUCAUAUUUACAGAAUUGCAGUUGUCCAGGUGCAGUGGCUCACGCCUGUAAUCCAAACAAUUUGGGAGGCCCAAGCAGGUGGAUCACUUGAAGUCAGGAGUUUGAGACCAGCCUGGUCAACAUGGUGAAACCCCAUCUCUAGUAAAAAUACAAAAAAAAAAUUAGCCGGGCAUGGUGGCGGGCACCAGUAAUCCCAGCUACUGGGGAGGCUGAGGCAGGACAAUUGCUUGAACCUGGGAGGCAGAGGUUGGGAGGUUGCAGUGACCCUAGAUAGCACCAUUGCACUCCAGCCUGGAUGACAGAGCGAGAUUCCAUCUCAAAAAAAAAGAAAGAAAGAAAGAAAGAAUUACAGUUGAUUAGCCACAAAUAAUUUCUAAAAUGUUUUUGCUCACAUCUCUCAUAAAAAUAAAAGAAUAUCCAUGUCCUGUCUUAUUUCUUAUAGCUGCCAGUACACCCCCCAGUUUCCUCUUAUAACUGUUUCAUCCAGAAUCCUUCACAUGGUUACCCUUCACUUUCUCUAUUCCAGUCCAGGUUGCUUAUUUUCUUUUCUCUGGCCUUCUCCCUGUUGCUUUGCUCUUCAUCGUGUAGAUUGAUUUAGUUGUUUUGGCUCAGUCCUUCCUUCUGUCUUCUGUUUCU
This 3795-nucleotide long non-coding RNA is filed under the name Homo sapiens (human). Its description in RNAcentral is "HSALNT0142514". Lineage: Eukaryota; Metazoa; Chordata; Mammalia; Primates; Hominidae. The record is from RNAcentral.